CGCGGGGCACCUGGCGACGAGUGGCGAACGGGUGAGUAAUAUAUCGGAACGUGCCCAGUAGUGGGGGAUAGCCCGGCGAAAGCCGGAUUAAUACCGCAUACGACCUAAGGGUGAAAGCGGGGGAUCGCAAGACCUCGCGCUAUUGGAGCGGCCGAUAUCAGAUUAGCUAGUUGGUGGGGUAAAAGCCUACCAAGGCGACGAUCUGUAGCUGGUCUGAGAGGACGACCAGCCACACUGGGACUGAGACACGGCCCAGACUCCUACGGGAGGCAGCAGUGGGGAAUUUUGGACAAUGGACGCAAGUCUGAUCCAGCCAUGCCGCGUGCGGGAAGAAGGCCUUCGGGUUGUAAACCGCUUUUGUCAGGGAAGAAAUCCUUUGAGAUAAUACCUCGGGGGGAUGACGGUACCUGAAGAAUAAGCACCGGCUAACUACGUGCCAGCAGCCGCGGUAAUACGUAGGGUGCGAGCGUUAAUCGGAAUUACUGGGCGUAAAGCGUGCGCAGGCGGUUAUGCAAGACAGAUGUGAAAUCCCCGGGCUCAACCUGGGAACUGCAUUUGUGACUGCAUAGCUGGAGUGCGGCAGAGGGGGAUGGAAUUCCGCGUGUAGCAGUGAAAUGCGUAGAUAUGCGGAGGAACACCGAUGGCGAANGGCAAUCCCCUGGGCCUGCACUGACGCUCAUGCACGAAAGCGUGGGGAGCAACAGGAUUAGAUACCCUGGGUAGUCCACGCCCUAAACGAUGUCAACUGGNUGUUGGGAGGGUUUCUUCUCAGUACGAANCUAACGCGUGAAGUUGACCGCCUGGGA
This 806-nucleotide ribosomal RNA is filed under the name Ideonella sp. Its description in RNAcentral is "bacterial SSU rRNA". It matches the Rfam family "Bacterial small subunit ribosomal RNA", at positions 72 to 878 of the family's 1533-position model. The record is from RNAcentral. Lineage: Bacteria; Pseudomonadati; Pseudomonadota; Betaproteobacteria; Burkholderiales; Sphaerotilaceae.